GGGUCGUUACGGGAAUUGAACCCGUGACCUCCUGUACCCAAAACAGGAAUCAUACCACUAGACCAAACGACCUUGCUAUGCGAAGCCAUAGAGUCAAUCGUAAGCUACAUAGAGCACGGCUCUACAACUCGUGCGGCAGUCAAGAAGCACCGUAGCGCAGUGGAAGCGCGAUGGGCUCAUAACCCAUAGGUCGUUGGAUCGAAACCAAUCGGUGCUAUUCUUUUGGUCUCAGAAACAAACAGCGCCCUGAUGCAACACAACUGCAGCAUGAUUCGCAAGGUGAGAUGGUCGAGUGGUCUAAGACGUUGGAUUAAGGUUCCAAUCCUUUCGAGGGCGUGGGUUCAAACCCCACUCUCAUCAUUUUUUUGCCCACCGGAAGGACGAGGCCCGUUGGGAAACAGGCCUGCAAACUCGAGGUUCCCGAAUCCACAUGAACCGAGCCGGUGUAAACGCUCAUCAUCACAACCCGGUGAGAGCGCUGUGUUGGCGCUCUGAAAGUGUGAAAAGUCGCCAACGUUGAAUGCAUCCCUCCUUGCAUAUUCCUCCCCAUGCCAGAGUGCACCCUAGCCCUCUUCUGUCGCAUGUUUCUCCCUUAGAGAAAAAACGAUUUCCAUAUCCCCGCGCGCUUCUACGCAGUUCUCGCGAUCCACAUGCGUACACGAAGGCAUGCACGAACAAACAUACAGCGCGGUCACCUGUCUCUUGAUGUGCUUUUGGCAUGGGGCUUCGCCAGCGCCGACAAAGGUGCUCCAGCUCCACUGGCGAUCAAGCGGGGUGAUACGCCCAACCCGUCACCGAUAAGCAGCGAACACCACGCUGCCUUUCCGCGGCCCAAAGAGGGGCCUGAGGAGCGCACCGCGUGGCAUAUAAGCGGUGAGCCCCGCGCUUCGGGAGAAAGACCCCCCCCCACCCCCGCACGACACAGAACGGGCUCAUCAGGAAUACCGUUCUACAAGUGGUAGAUCUUGACGCGGCGCGCCACGGCGCAAGCCAAGAGGGGGGGGGUCGGGUACCAGGCGAUGAUGUCGACCCUAAAAAAAAAGAUUUUGGUGUGAAAGCGUGGCCCCGCACACGCCGCCAAAGACGCCGCUUGGACCCGGAUUUUGUUGCUGGGGUCCCUGCCUCCCCCGACUUCGGCCUAAAGAAAAGAAGGACCCACCCGGGUUUGAACCGGGGACCAUUCGGACUGCAGCCGAAUGCUCUACCACUGAGCUAUGAAUCCGAUGCACCAAUCACAAAAAAAACAUUAAUGUAUUCUUUCUUGAAAACAAGUCUCAUAUAUAAGCCCAUUUGCCGUCCCAUAUGUCUUCGUUAUUCUUUGGAACCGCUGCUUCGACUUUUACUAAGCAGCGCUCCUAACCUUCUCGCAAAUUUUGCGGCCCCCACAGGGCAUCUGUACUUUUUUUUUUCAAACCAUGAAGUUGUGCAUUUGACUCUUCGCGCGGCAAAACGCUUCUUGAAGGGUGAACACUUGAUAAG
Molecule: transfer RNA, 1479 nt
Filed under: Leishmania donovani
Lineage: Eukaryota; Euglenozoa; Kinetoplastea; Trypanosomatida; Trypanosomatidae
Description: tRNA.36.010
Rfam family: tRNA (bases 146-217)
Source: RNAcentral